GGGGCCGUCGUCUAGCUUGGUAGGAUGCCAGCCUGGGGAGCAUUUCCCUAUUCCACCAAUGCCUAGAGCGCUGGUGGUCCGGGGUUCAAAUCCCCGCGGCCCCA
This 104-nucleotide transfer RNA is filed under the name Caldisphaera lagunensis DSM 15908. It matches the Rfam family "tRNA". From Rfam's summary of the family: Transfer RNA (tRNA) molecules are approximately 80 nucleotides in length. Lineage: Archaea; Thermoproteati; Thermoproteota; Thermoprotei; Acidilobales; Acidilobaceae. The record is from Rfam by way of RNAcentral.